This 6495-nucleotide long non-coding RNA is filed under the name Sus scrofa (pig). RNAcentral describes it as "lncRNA (ENSSSCG00000052190.1)". Lineage: Eukaryota; Metazoa; Chordata; Mammalia; Artiodactyla; Suidae. The record is from RNAcentral.
AAAUAUACUAAUAAAGAGAGGAUGGCCACCGUUCCCUCCACCGCUUGAAUUUUGGUCAACAAUUUUUAGCUCCUUUGAACACUCAUACCAGAAAAUGCAUACUAGUGUGGUUAGAAAUUUGCAUGAAAUGGAAGACAUUACACUCACUUAGCUCAGUUGAAUUUCAUCAUCUGGUUGUGAAUGCUUUGUGGUCAGGAAUUGUCUUCACUAUUUUAUUCUCGGAGUCUCAGCCUUCUAUGUAAUAUGUGCUCAACUUAUAUUCUAAAUUGUUAAUUCUUAUUAUUUCACACCAUUUCUCAUCAUCUUCUUGUCUCCACUGAAACUCUCCCCUCUAGACACUGUUCCUCCAUAAAGGGUCAAAGUAAUACCCAAUACUUACCAUGUAUUGGUUUCAUGCCAAGCAGCCUUCUAUUUUAUUUGUUCUAUGUAUAUUAGUCCCCCUCAGAUAAUCAAAAUAAUCACUCAGAAAAACCCCAGCCAUAUACAAGCUGAAAGUCAUGAAGUCACAUAUUCCAUAGAUCCUUAAUCUUAAAGCUAGCAGUCACAGUCAGAGGAAAACAAAACACCCUAUCCAAAAAAUCCUAUGUUUGUUAUUAGCAUAGUGAAUAGAUAGAACAGAAAAGAGAUAAACAUGGUGGAGAAAGAUACCCUUUCCACCUCAAUUCAUAACCCCGGGAGCCUCUUCCCCCUUCACCCAGUGAUUUGCAUCUAGAGAACUACUUGGGCCAGGGAGUUACCUCACACCAGACACAGGACACCCAUGGCUGUGGAAAGUCCCCUGAAGUCACUGGAACAUACACAGGAGUGUGUGUCUAUGGAUAUAAAUAUAAAAUGCUUCACUCACCUCAGCCCCCAAAUCUGACCUUAUUUGUCAGUACUACUUUGGCUGGGUCUGGAGGGCAAGGAAGGAAGAACAUCUUGACCAGCUGAGGCUUUGACAGAUGCAGGCAAGGCAUGUGUUCACGAGAUGUGGGGGAAGCUGGCACCGUGUGCCUGCAUCUUUACCUUUGCUGCCCUCAGUCCUAUUAGCAGAAGCCAUACUGACUCAAGCAGUCUCUUUCUGCAUGAAGUUCCAAACACUUUCUGUUUUUCUCUAGCACAAUUCCUCCUUAUAAAAAUAACAUGAUAUUAAUUUUCAAAAUGGAAAUUAGAAAAGAAAUAAGAAUUCAUAAUCCUCACCACCGAGUGCAAUCAUUUUGGCACGUACAAAAAAUUCUUUGCUGUCUUUUCUCGAUGCUUAAGAAUAGAAUUUUGUUUUGUCUCCAGUCUUUGUUUUGGAUAUAAAGGAGCAAUAUGGAGAAAUCUCUCUGCUAGGGGAAAUCAUAGAAUAUGUUCAAUUCAGGGCAAUUUUGAGAAUAAAAGUGUAGUUAAAAUUAUUAUUUUUUGAUGAUUUUUAUUUUUUCCAUUAUGGUUGGUUUACAGUGUUCUGUCAAUUUUCUACUGUACAGCAAAGUGACCCAGUCACACAUGGAUAUAUAUAUCCUUUUUCUCACAUUAUCUUCCAUCAUACUCCAUCACAAGUGACUAUAUUAAUUAUAUAAAUAUUUUUGAAAUCUUUAUUUAUUUUGAUCUAUUUUGAUUUAUUUUGAUAAAAUGGCAUAUGAUAACGAUGUACAUAAAAUAGUACCAUUCAAAAAUAAAAGCGGAAAUAAUUUUUCACUAAAAAUUUUAAGUAAUAUGUAUCCAUGUACAUUAAAGCUGGAAAAAAAAAAGUCUUCAUAUUAAUUAUCUGAACUUAACAACCUAACUGAAUGACCAUUGUUUGUAUACGUUCACAAAUUCUACUAAUUUUCUUAGUUACAUAUGUUUCUAAUACCAGGAAACUCAUGUUUUUUGAAGAACACAUAUUUUCAGUGUGACGUUAUUUUAAUUUUUUUCAGAUAAGACUUUUUUUUUUUUCUUUUUAGGGACGAACCUGCCACAUAUGGAAGUUCCCAGGCUAGGGGUCCAGUCAGAGCCUCAACUGCCUGCCUACUCCUUAGCCACAGCAACAUGGGAUCUGAGCCACAUCUGUGACCUAUACCACAUCUCAGGGAAAUGCUGGAUCCCUGAUCCACAGAGCAAGGCCAGGGAUGGAAUCCACAUCCUCAUGGAUACUAUUCGGAUUAUUUCUGCUGCGCCACAAUGGGCUGAGCCACAAUGGGCACUCCCACUAUAGGCAUAUUUUUAAUUGAGAAAAUACUCUUUUCAUUGCGGUUGAAAUAUUUGAUAAACUCAGUGCAAAGUUUGCAAAAUGGAAAGUAUUUCCUAUUCUAAUAUAUUUCAUACAAAAAUGUACAAAUAUUUCAGCCCAAAUAUUUUCAAAGAUACUGUCUUUUGCCUCUGUUUAGAAUGCUUUUCUUCAAUAAAUAUUUUUAUAAGUCAAAACUCAUUAAAUAAACUUUUUCUUUUUUUAUUCAUUUGGAAGUUUCACAAAACUUAGAUGCUACAACAUAAAAGGAUUUCUCCAUUUUAUUUCAUCCUAAAAUAGACUAUAAAUUUAUCUAAUAUAAACAGGAGCUUCAUUAAAAUUCUCUUUCUAUAAGUUUACAUAUUCUAAAAUGAAAUUAAAUAAUUUUAAAAUUAAAUUUUUUAUGCAGUCUGGACUUUCAUCAUUUAAUUUGCUUUGUUUCUCUCCUGCUUUUAUAGGGGUAAGUUUCAACAUCUUUCUGUUCAUAAACUUUAUUUUUAAUAACUAUAUUUAUCUAAAAGUUUCAAUACUAAUGUUUUUUAAAUUACUUCAUUCACUGAAUAUUUAGUUCAAAAACUUCCAACUGAUUUUGAAUAUAGUGCAAACAAAAUGUAUAGUCCUCAUUUACGAAAAGUUCAAUACCAUUGCAAAACACAAAUUUACCUGCAAAAUAGAUCUUAAAUAUUUAAACAUUUUAAAAAUCAAUGGAUGAAACUCAGUGCCAGGAGAAAAAGCUCAGAUUUCCAUGCUAUAGUAUUUUUUUACAUUCAAUGUCAACUUCCUCAUAAAACUCUGAUUCAAAAGGAGGGUACCUCGAUUUAAAUAUUUCUUUCUUAUUAGACACGGAGUUUAUGUGGACUUUUUUGCCAUUGUGAGUAGCACAGUAAUGAACAGGUCUGGCACAUCGACUUUUCUAGACCAUCUGAUCCUCAUUUCUUGCACCAUGUCUGAGGUUCACUAGUCAGAAGGCUGGAGUUCUUUUAUGCCUUAAGCUCCAUCAUGCUCUGAAUAUGAAAGCAGGCCAUUGCUCCAACUGUCUUUGGGUUCUUCCUGCUCCUCCUCUCCACCUCUCUGCUCCCCCAUUUAGUUAGGUAUUUCUUAAGCAACUCUUACUUCUCGUUGCACGCAUCAAUAUAGUGGGUCCUCUGGAUGGGGAAGAAAAACAUGGUACCUAAUCUCGGUUUCUCUUCCUUCUCUUAGAAUUAUUCAAACUGGCAGGAAUGGGCUAUCCCCUCUUUCUCUUCCUUAUGUGACCAGUAUCUUCCUUAAAAUGUAAGAUCAAUCUUUCAGGCCUUAAAGUAGAAGACCAGGGGAAUUCAGGAAAUCACUUUCUCUUUAUAAGCCUUGCUUUAAGUUUCAUUACUUCCUGUAGACAUUUAAUUCCUAUUUUGGUUGCCAGAAACAGAAUAUUAACAUUCUCCCUCCACAUUCUUGUUAUACUAACCCUAAUGACUUCCUGUACUUCCCCACUUGCAUCCCCACAAAUGACAAAAGCUGCAGGCUGACUUGGGUUAAAGUCAAGUAUAUGUAAAGGCAAAAGAGACAAGCAUAUUCACCUUUUUCCAAAAUUUUCACCCCUUCUUACAUCACUAAAUAAAUAAUUAGUAUGUCAGAAAUAUAUGUCCAAGGCAUUCCCCUAUGGCACAGUGGGUUAAAAAUUCAACUGCAGAAGACUGGGUGGCUGUAGAAGUGUGGGUUUAAUCCCAGGCCCUGCAGCUUGAAUUAAAGGGUCCGGCAUUGCUGCAACUGUGGCAUGGGUCAUAGCUGUGGCUCAGAUUCAAUCCUUGGCCUGGGAACUUCCAUAUGCUGGGGGUGUGGCCAUAAAAUUAAAAAUACAUGCAUAUGUAUAUAUGUAUAUACACGAACACUGCCAUCUGAUAGCAUUGACAGAUUGUAUUACAGAGGAUUUCCUAUUGCCACAGGCUAUAUGUGAGAGCACUAGUUUCAGUGUAUCCUUAAUAAGGAUUAUCAUUUUGAAAAAUUUUGCUAACUUAAUAAUUAAAAAAUAAUCCAAGGGAUAAUCUUUAGAUUUUCUUAGUUUUAUUCUAACUCCUCUAAUUCUAUUGGCAAGUAAACUUGAAUUCAUGAGCUAUGCAAUUUGAUAACUGGAUCUAGGGAUAUAAAAUGACAAGGCAUUGAGCAAAACUAAGAUCAAGAGAUUUUUGGUACUGAGAGAUCAACAGCUUUUGAAUUUCACUUUCAUUUGAAAGCAGGACUUGAGGACCUGGGCUACGACACUGGCUAUUUAUUAACGGGAUCAUCUCUUAGCUAGCUCUUUCAGGCUUCCCAGGUUGUUGCUGUUUUACGAAUAUGAUUUUAAUGUUCCAUGAAUUCUGUGAAAUGUUAUCAAGUCCGUUUUACAGCCAAACUGAGACACAGAAGUGCCUUGCUCAAGGUGGAUAAAAGGAGCGAAGAAACAAAGUAGGAGGUCAGUCUGAGUUGAGAUUCUGAUACUAACACUGACUGGUUCUGUGACACUGGAGAAUUUCUUAAAAUCCCCAAGAUGCUUCCUUAUCUGCCAAUCAAAAUUAACAAAGUUCACUUCAGCGUGGUAACAAGAAAUAACUAUUUCCAUGCUUUUAAAGACUUUUGGUCUAGAGUUUGGAAGGUCAGAACCUAUGAAUGAAAAAUUAUUCUCAUUCAAUAACAGCACAUUGAUCUUUCUCUUAUACUCCACUCAUGUUUAAAAUAAAUAAAUAAAACUUUUUUAUGUUUAGAACAAAUUCUGAUUCAUUUACAUCUUGUUCUGUCAAGGAUCAGUGGAGAUAAAGAAAGAGAAAUUGAGCCAAAAAGGAUUUUACAUUUGAAUUUACCUAGCAAAGUAAUAGAAUCAUAGAAUUACAAAAAUAAAUAAAUAAAUAAACCUGAGAACUAAAGGGAUAAAACAUAUUAACCCCUCUAACCACCUACAGAAAUGCAGGUGUGGAAGGGGAAAGGACUGCCACAGAGUUCCAGGGAGUAAACUGUAGAUCUGCAUUUCUUUCAGAGCCCUGGUCUCUGAAAUCAUUCAAGGCUUUCAACACAAUGUACAUUUUCUCCUUUUCAAAUUGGCCAAGAAGAGCCAUAGCUUUUACCUGUGAAAAAGGAAGAGGUCUGCUGUAAUUACAGCCAACCCUACACUCCUACUGGGCUUUACUGAGUGCCAGGGCUCUGGGGGAUAGAGGUGAAUGAGGCAUGGGGUCUAGGCGGAAGCGGGCCUGCACAAGAGUAACUUGAUUCCAAGGCGGUCUGUGAUAAGUGUUAUCUUAGAUCAGUGGAGGAGACAGGUCACACGACUGGAAUAGCACGAAGUCAGGCCAGAGGCUGAGGCCACGCUGUUAUUUAGGAACCCUAUCGGGUUCAUCUUGCAGCUUGGCAGUGAGCCAAAACCCCUGUAGCUUCUUGUCCUGGGUGUGCUGGGUCAUAGGAUGUUUCCAUCGCCUUUCCUGGAGUCUACUGUUAAGGCCCCCAGAGUCUGAGAGUGUAAAAAGACAGGUGGAGAGAGAAGUUUGUUCCACUGAUCCAACCUGUGCCAUUGAAGCAACCCAAGCUCCUGGAAGGACUCAGAUCCUUCAGCUGCUGCACCACCAGGAAACUCCUGUUCCACUUUUAAGAACAAAUGAUCCUGGAGUUCCUGCUGUGGGGCAACAGGAUUGGCGGAGUCUUGGGAGCCUGGGACCAGGUUCAAUCCCUGGACUGGCACAGUGGGUUAAGGAUCUGGCAUUGCCAUAGCUGCAGCUUAGGUUGCAAAUGCGACUCAGAUCUGAUCCCUGGCCCAAGAACUCCUGCCUUGAGGGCACCAAAAAAGAAAAAAUAAAUAAAUAAACAAUCCUAAAUCAAUUAUAUUGCAAUAAAAAUAAGUACUAAUAAAAUAAAUACUCCUAGAAUGCCUGGCAUUAUGGAAACAUGGUUUCCUUAAAGGUGACCUUUGUUUCUCCUAGCAUAUCACAGGCGAUGCCAAACAUCAGAGCCUCCAGGUUUCUACCCAUUCAGGAUGUGAACUAACCAAAAAUAUUGUUUGUCUUCCUCUGGCAGUUAUGCCAUUCAGCUUUGCCUUAGCUGUUUGCAUGUGCACCUCCCAGAGGACUGUGAAGAGCUGGGAUACAGACCCCCUCUGACUCACCUCAUCUCCCACAGCACCCAGGAAAAGCCUGAUUGUAUUAAAUCCUCAGCCCAGUCAGUGGGUUAAAACACAAUCUUCUGCUAUUCUUUCAGUGCUGGAAGGAAUUUUCCAUUUUCCAACUCGCUGGCAAGUAUUCCAAAUUGCCCUCAAGCUUAGAACUGAAAAUGAAAGGGAAGAAAUGACCCCUUUCUCUACUCAAUGUUAUGUUGUGUGUUAGAUUGAG